GCAAGUCGAACGGCAGCACGAAGAGCUUGCUCUUUGGUGGCGAGUGGCGGACGGGUGGGUAACACUUAGGAAUCUAUCCAGUAGCUGGGGAUAACCCGGAGAAAUCCGGGCUAAUACCGAAUACGCACUAUGGUGGAAAGAGGGGGAUCUUUCGGGACCUCUCACUAUUGGGUGAGCCUAAGCCGGAUUAGCUGGUUGGUGGGGUAAUGGCCUACCAAGGCGACGAUCCGUAGCUGGUCUGAGAGGACGAUC
Molecule: ribosomal RNA, 252 nt
Filed under: uncultured bacterium
Lineage: Bacteria
Description: partial 16S ribosomal RNA
Rfam family: Bacterial small subunit ribosomal RNA
Source: RNAcentral